AGGACGAACGCUGGCGGCGUGCUUAACACAUGCAAGUCGAGCGGUAAGGCCUUUCGGGGUACACGAGCGGCGAACGAGUGAGUAACACGUGGGUGAUCUGCCCUGCACUCUGGGAUAAGCCUGGGAAACUGGGUCUAAUACCGGAUAUGACCUGCUCUCGCAGUGGGGGUGGGUGGAAAGAUUUAUCGGUGCAGGAUGGGCCCGCGGCCUAUCAGCUUGUUGGUGGGGUAAUGGCCUACCAAGGCGACGACGGGUAGCCGACCUGAGAGGGU
RNAcentral lists this ribosomal RNA (272 nucleotides) under uncultured soil bacterium. RNAcentral describes it as "partial 16S ribosomal RNA". It matches the Rfam family "Bacterial small subunit ribosomal RNA", at positions 26 to 301 of the family's 1533-position model. The record is from RNAcentral.